AUUGUAGUCUGCAACCCGACUACAUGAAGCUGGAAUCGCUAGUAAUCGCGGAUCAGAAUGCCGCGGUGAAUACGUUCCCGGGUCUUGUACACACCGCCCGUCACACCAUGGGAGUCGGAAAUGCCCGAAGUCGGUGACCUAACUGAAAGGAAGGAGCCGCCGAAGGCAGGUCUGGUGACUGGGGUGAAGUCGUAACAAGGUAAC
This 204-nucleotide ribosomal RNA is filed under the name uncultured bacterium. Its description in RNAcentral is "partial 16S ribosomal RNA". It matches the Rfam family "Bacterial small subunit ribosomal RNA", at positions 1297 to 1500 of the family's 1533-position model. The record is from RNAcentral.